Molecule: unclassified non-coding RNA, 1344 nt
Filed under: Hevea brasiliensis (rubber tree)
Lineage: Eukaryota; Viridiplantae; Streptophyta; Magnoliopsida; Malpighiales; Euphorbiaceae
Source: RNAcentral
UUAACGUAGAAGAAAUCCAAAAUGGUCUGCCAUAAGAACAACUAAAAGUCCACACGCUUUAACCAGAAAAUUUCGAUUCACAUAUAAAUUAGCGACGGUCUCUUCCAAAUUCUGCAACAAACUUCACCAAUUUUUGUUCCUUUCUUGAUCACCAAAAUGAAAGGCACAACCCCGGAAUCCCAGCCCCUUUACCCUUCUAUCUCCUCUCACACACCAGAAGAGGCUGGCCCUUCAUCGACGAUCGCUCAAGAUGCAGAGAAUCAUCACCAUCAGCAUUCUUCGGCACCAUCAUCUUCGUCUCUGCAGCCUCCGAGCAAUGAGAGCAAUGAGAAGUACUGGGGGACUCAUGUCAUGGGGACACCUGCUAUUCCCACACGCCACCCAGACAACAAGAAGGCAGCCCUGUGGGGUGCUGCUGCUAGUGAUCAAGCCGCCCAAUUCCAUCAUCCCUACCUUCAGUACAGCCCUGUCGAAAAACCAAGUAGCAGCCCAAUGGAAUCCAUUCUCCAGUCGUUCAAUUCUUGGAGCAAGAAGACUGAAAUCAUGGCUCACAACAUCUGGCACAAUCGUAUGUACAUGUUCCUUCUUCAUAUAUGUAUUUGCUUUGUUUGAAUUCAAGACCUUAGAGUCUUGAAAACCAUUCCAUCUUCAUUUUUUUUUGUUCAAAUUACAGUUCCCCUUUUGAUAUGUUCUUAAAACCAAUUUUCUUUGUAACAGUAAGGACUAGCCCAUCUGUUUCUGAAGCUGCCUGGGGAAAGAUGAACCUGACGGCGAAAGCAAUAACAGGGGGUGGAUUUGAGUCUCUAUACAAGAACACAUUUUCAACCUAUCCAAAUGAAAAGCUGAAGAAGACCUUUGCCUGUUAUCUGUCCACAUCAACAGGACCAGUUGCCGGAACCCUUUAUCUAUCUGAUGCUCAUGCAGCGUUCUGCAGCGAUCGUCCCUUAUCUUUCACUGCACCCUCUGGCCAGGAGACUUGGAGCUAUUACAAGGUUAUGGUUCCACUGAGCAAGAUUGGGGCGAUCAAUCCUGUAGUUAUGAGGGAUAAUCCAUCAGAGAAAUACAUCCAGAUUGUUACAAUUGAUGGACAUGAUUUCUGGUUCAUGGGUUUUGUUAAUUAUGAGAAAGCUUCUCGGCAUCUAACUGAAAGCCUCUCCAAUUUUGUAGCCCCGGGGAUAGCAGUAAACCCAUUUGCUGUGUAGCUGGUUCUUUUUAUCUUCAGUUUUUCAUCAUCUCCUCCACCUUUAUCUUGUAUUUUCCAGUGUUUUGCAUGCUUAAUUUGUUCUCAAUUUAUUUUUGUGAAUUAUUUAUAUUCAAAUCGUUUUAAAUUUUAUACUAAUUAAA